GAUGAACGCUGGCGGCGUGCUUAACACAUGCAAGUCGAACGAAGCAUUUAAGACAGAUUACUUCGGUUUGAAGUCUUUUAUGACUGAGUGGCGGAUGGGUGAGUAACGCGUGGGUAACCUGCCUCAUACAGGGGGAUAGCAGCUGGAGACGGCUGGUAAUACCGCAUAAGCGCACGGUAUCGCAUGAUACAGUGUGAAAAACUCCGGUGGUAUAAGAUGGACCCGCGUCUGAUUAGCUGGUUGGUGAGGUAACGGCCCACCAAGGCGACGAUCAGUAGCCGGCCUGAGAGGGUGAACGGCCACAUUGGGACUGAGACACGGCCCAAACUCCUACGGGAGGCAGCAGUGGGGGAAUAUUGCACAAUGGGGGAAACCCUGAUGCAGCGACGCCGCGUGAGUGAUGAAGUAUUUCGGUAUGUAAAACUCUAUCAGCAGGGAAGAUAAUGACGGUACCUGACUAAGAAGCACCGGCUAAAUACGUGCCAGCAG
RNAcentral lists this ribosomal RNA (489 nucleotides) under uncultured bacterium. RNAcentral describes it as "bacterial SSU rRNA". It matches the Rfam family "Bacterial small subunit ribosomal RNA", at positions 28 to 514 of the family's 1533-position model. The record is from RNAcentral.